GUUCCGUAGGUGAACCUGCGGAAGGAUCAUUACUGAGUGAGGGCCCUCUGGGUCCAACCUCCCACCCGUGUUUAUUGUACCUUGUUGCUUCGGUGCGCCCGCCUCACGGCCGCCGGGGGGCUUCUGUCCCCGGGUCCGCGCGCACCGGAGACACCAUUGAACUCUGUCUGAAGAUUGCAGUCUGAGCAUAAACUAAAUAAGUUAAAACUUUCAACAACGGAUCUCUUGGUUCCG
RNAcentral lists this unclassified non-coding RNA (234 nucleotides) under plant metagenome. Its description in RNAcentral is "partial contains small subunit ribosomal RNA, internal transcribed spacer 1, and 5.8S ribosomal RNA". The record is from RNAcentral.